Molecule: ribosomal RNA, 294 nt
Filed under: uncultured eukaryote
Lineage: Eukaryota
Description: partial 18S ribosomal RNA
Rfam family: Eukaryotic small subunit ribosomal RNA
Source: RNAcentral
CCCUUUGAUACUCUGGGCGGCACGCGCGCUACACUGGUUUAUAUAACGUGUAAUUUGGACGAUAGUCUGUAUAAAUCACUAAUAUAAAACCGUGAAUGGGAUAGUUUAUUGCAACUUACAAACUUUAACUAGGAAUCCCUUGUAGAAGUAGUGAAUUAUACUGCUUCGAAUACGUCCCUGCCGAUUGUACACACCGCCCGUCGUUUCUUCCGACUGGUACUCAUUGCGAAUUGCGAGGAGAUUCUGUCAAAUCGUUGUAAAUGCUGGGUAUUGGAGGAAGAAAAAGUCGUAACA